RNAcentral lists this microRNA precursor (96 nucleotides) under Procavia capensis (Cape rock hyrax). Lineage: Eukaryota; Metazoa; Chordata; Mammalia; Hyracoidea; Procaviidae. The record is from RNAcentral.
AACUACUUGGGGAUAUUUGAGGAGAGGUUAUUCAUGUUCUGUUUGCGUCUUUCAUUGUGAAUAAUACAUGGAUAACCUCUUUUUGAAUAUCAGACU